UCNGGAAAGUCUGGAGUAAAAGGCUAUGGNUCAACCAUAGUGUGCUCUGGAAACUNUCUGACUUGAGUGCAGAAGGGGAGAGUGGAAUUCCAUGUGUAGCGGUGAAAUGCGUAGAUAUAUGGAGGAACACCAGUGGCGAAAGCGGCUCUCUGGUCUGUCACUGACGCUGAGGCUCGAAAGCGUGGGUAGCGAACAGGAUUAGAUACCNUGGUAGUCCACGCCGUAAACGAUGAGUGCUAGGUGUUAGGCCCUUUCCGGGGCUUAGUGCCGGAGCUAACGCAAUAAGCACUCCGCCUGGGGAGUACGACCGCAAGGUUGAAACUCAAAGGAAUUGACGGGGGCCCGCACAAGCGGUGGAGCAUGUGGUUUAAUUCGAAGCAACGCGAAGAACCUUACCAGGUCUUGACAUCCCGAUGCUAUUCUUAGAGAUAGGAAGUUACUUCGGUACAUCGGAGACAGGUGGUGCAUGGUUGUCGUCAGCUCGUGUCGUGAGAUGUUGGGUUAAGUCCCGCAACGAGCGCAACCCUUAUUGUUAGUUGCCACCAUUAAGUUGGGCACUCUGGCGAGACUGCCGGUAAUAAACCGGAGGAAGGUGGGGAUGACGUCAAAUCAUCAUGCCCCUUAUGACCUGGGCUACACACGUGCUACAAUGGUCGGUACAACGAGUUGCGAGCCGGUGACGGCAAGCUAAUCUCUGAAAGCCGAUCUCAGUUCGGAUUGGAGGCUGCAA
RNAcentral lists this ribosomal RNA (730 nucleotides) under uncultured bacterium. RNAcentral's name for it is "bacterial SSU rRNA". It matches the Rfam family "Bacterial small subunit ribosomal RNA", at positions 579 to 1310 of the family's 1533-position model. The record is from RNAcentral.